AAAGGAGUUUGAGGACUCCACCUGUGCAAGCUGAUCUCCCAGACACAGCGUAGAGUGGAGAUGGGUGGAAAGCCAGUCUGGAGAGACACAGAGAAGAUACUCUGCUCAGCCAUUCUUAGAGGUCCUCAGCUAUUCAAGUGUAGCCAGGGUGAAAAAUUGCAACUCUGGUGAGCACAAACUCGGAUACGUUGAAAUCUAUGUGGUGUUCUGUUAAAAUAUGGCUUUGGUCCUCAUU
This 235-nucleotide long non-coding RNA is filed under the name Ictidomys tridecemlineatus (thirteen-lined ground squirrel). RNAcentral describes it as "lncRNA (ENSSTOG00000030033.1)". Lineage: Eukaryota; Metazoa; Chordata; Mammalia; Rodentia; Sciuridae. The record is from RNAcentral.